This 162-nucleotide ribosomal RNA is filed under the name Saccharibacillus soli. RNAcentral describes it as "Saccharibacillus sp. O16 partial 23S ribosomal RNA". It matches the Rfam family "Bacterial large subunit ribosomal RNA", at positions 2758 to 2925 of the family's 2925-position model. Lineage: Bacteria; Bacillati; Bacillota; Bacilli; Caryophanales; Paenibacillaceae. The record is from RNAcentral.
GACGGGAUAAACGCUGAAAGCAUCUAAGCGUGAAGCCCCCCUCAAGAUGAGAUUUCCCACUUUUGGUAAGACCCCUUGUAGACGACGAGGUUGAUAGGCUAGAGGUGGACGCGCAGCAAUGUGUGGAGCUGACUAGUACUAAUCGGUCGAGGGCUUAUCCUU